UACAAAAAAAACACUGGUUUUUGUGUUUAAAGUUUGAUUGUUCGUUUUAUUUAAAAAAAUUAUGAAAAAAAUAAAAAGACAAGUCACACAUAAAAUAUUAAUCAUAUUUUAUCAUCUAACAAUAAUAAAAAUACUAAUUAUAAAAAUUUUCAUAUAAGACGGACAGUCAAACGUUGGACACGGAAAUCUAGGGUUUAUCUUUUU
Molecule: microRNA precursor, 204 nt
Organism: Oryza sativa Japonica Group (Japanese rice)
Lineage: Eukaryota; Viridiplantae; Streptophyta; Magnoliopsida; Poales; Poaceae
Rfam family: MIR812 microRNA precursor family
Source: Rfam